This 474-nucleotide ribosomal RNA is filed under the name Nomimoscolex matogrossensis. RNAcentral's name for it is "SSU rRNA". It matches the Rfam family "Eukaryotic small subunit ribosomal RNA", at positions 787 to 1255 of the family's 1831-position model. Lineage: Eukaryota; Metazoa; Platyhelminthes; Cestoda; Proteocephalidea; Monticelliidae. The record is from RNAcentral.
GAUGUUGCCUGAAAAGUUUUGCAUGGAAUAAUGGAAUAGGACUUCGGUUCUAUUUCGUUGGUUUUCGGAUCCGAAGUAAUGAUCAAAAGAGACAGGCGGGGACGUUUGUAUGGCUGCGCUAGAGGUGAAAUUCAUGGACCGUAGCCAGACAAACUAAAGCGAAAGCAUUCGUCAAGCAUGUUUUCAUUGGCCAUGAGCGAAAGUCAGAGGCUCGAAGACGAUCAGAUACCGUCCUAGUUCUGACCAUAAACGAUGCCAACUGACGAUCCGUGGUGGUAGUUCAUCAACCUUCCCCACGGGCAGUCCCCGGGAAACCUUUAAGUCUUUGGGUUCCGGGGGAAGUAUGGUUGCAAAGCUGAAACUUAAAGGAAUUGACGGAAGGGCACCACCAGGAGUGGAGCCUGCGGCUUAAUUUGACUCAACACGGGAAAACUCACCCGGCCCGGACACUAUGAGGAUUGACAGAUUGAANGC